Molecule: long non-coding RNA, 1189 nt
Filed under: Ananas comosus (pineapple)
Lineage: Eukaryota; Viridiplantae; Streptophyta; Magnoliopsida; Poales; Bromeliaceae
Description: long non-coding RNA (ACOM_LNC020589)
Source: RNAcentral
AUAAUAUUAAAAGGUUUAUUUUUAUUAUGAGCAUAUCAAAUUCAUUGAAUCUAAUCAAAUUUUAUAUAUAUAUAUAUAUAGAGUUGAGCUAGAAUACUCUCGAGAGUAAACGAGCCCGUUUACUCUCGAGUUGUUUUCGAUGAUAGAGCUUCCAAAUUGACGAUCGGCUCCGUUGAACAUGAUUUAUACCACUUGAAGUGUUUAGAAAUCAAAUUUCAAAUCUUUUCGACAUCAUUUGCCUAAUGAUCAAAGGGUUUCAAAAUUUAUAAUUUUAAUGGUGGAUAAGAGACGUUUUCUCGUUUAACGGUGUAAAGAUAUCCAAAUCAAUUGAAUUUUUGUUAGAAAAUUCUUUAAACUAUUUAAAACAAGAUCUAUACUCUUGAUCUUGAUUACAAGACUCAUAUCAUCAUUUUUUAAAGAAUAUUCAUUUUCAGCCAUUCAUUUUUCUGUUCACUAGAUGGAUAUAAAACCAAUAUCGGAAAAGUGCAGUGAAAUCUGAUUUCAUAGGUUUAAAUGGUUUAGAUCAUAUUUAACGGAGCGAUCGUCAAUUUGGAAGCUCUAUCAUCGAAAACAACUCGAGAGUAAACAGGCUCGUUUACUCUCAAGAGUAUUCUAGCUCAACUCUAUAUAUAUAUAUAUAUAUAUAUAUAUAUAUAUAUAUAUAUAUAUAUAUAUAUAUAUAUAUUUCAGAUUUUAACUGUUGGAUGAAAAGAUUGUACGGUUAGGACGAUAUGACCCUCUAGAGUUUAGCGAUGGAUCUCUUAGCACCCAGUUGGUUCGGGGUUAAGGAGUGGAAUAACCCCUUAACCCUGAAGUUAUUUCCAAACACUCAAUUUGGGGGGUGGGGUUAGCUAAUCCCACCCCACCCCACUACUCCAACCAAAUAAAAUACUAUUUACCCACUAUCCUUCUAAUUUCACCUAUUCCAACCAAACACUAUUUUAUCUAUAUCUGGACUAAACCCAAUUCUCAACCAAACAUAAAAUUAUUUUAACCCCACCUUAACCCUGAGCUUAACCCUAUCCCUAAAAUAAUAAAUUUUUACUUAACUCCGAAUCAAACGGUGGCUUAAGAUUUACUAAUAGUUGGUGAAAUAGUAUUAAUUCAACAAUAAAAAUAAUAAAAGGAAUAAAUCUAACAGCUAAAAACUGAAUAACAAAAGGGCCUAUAUAUAUAUAUAUAUAUAUAA